CCCUUAGAUGUCCUGGGCCGCACGCGCGCUACACUGAUGCAUGCAACGAGUUUAUAACCUUGGCCUGAAAGGUCUGGGUAAUCUCUUGAACGUGCAUCGUGAUAGGGAUAGAUUAUUGCAAUUGUUAAUCUUGAACGAGGAAUUCCUAGUAAACGCGAGUCAUCAGCUCGCAUUGAUUACGUCCCUGCCCUUUGUACACACCGCCCGUCGCACCUACCGAUUGAAUGGUUCGGUGAAGAUCUCGGACUUCGAUAUUUAUUCUUUAUUGAGUUUAUAUUGUGGGAAGUUAUCUAAACCUCAUCAUUUAGAGGAAGGUGAAGUCGUAACA
Molecule: ribosomal RNA, 328 nt
Filed under: uncultured eukaryote
Lineage: Eukaryota
Description: partial 18S ribosomal RNA
Rfam family: Eukaryotic small subunit ribosomal RNA
Source: RNAcentral